CGGCUGAGUAACGCGUGGGUGACCUGCCCAGAAGUGGGGAAUAACUGCCCGAAAGGGUGGCUAAUACCGCAUGUGGUCAUGAGUUCAUUCUUAUGACCAAAGCCUUAGGGCGCUUUUGGAGGGGCCUGCGUUCGAUUAGCUCGUUGGUGAGGUAACGGCUCACCAAGGCGACGAUCGAUAGGUGGUCUGAGAGGAUGAUCACCCAGACUGGGACUGAGACACGGCCCAG
This 229-nucleotide ribosomal RNA is filed under the name uncultured bacterium. RNAcentral's name for it is "partial 16S ribosomal RNA". It matches the Rfam family "Bacterial small subunit ribosomal RNA", at positions 103 to 334 of the family's 1533-position model. The record is from RNAcentral.